GUUCGACUCGAGCGAAGCGAGAGAACGUUGCGCCAGCAACGGCCCGCAGGGCGAGCCACGAAGUGGCGAGUAAUCCUCUAUCACCGACCA
Molecule: small RNA, 90 nt
Filed under: Escherichia coli
Lineage: Bacteria; Pseudomonadati; Pseudomonadota; Gammaproteobacteria; Enterobacterales; Enterobacteriaceae
Also listed under: 1 other name
Description: partial RtT sRNA
Rfam family: RtT RNA
About the family: This family represents a bacterial cis-regulatory element known as RtT RNA. The exact function of RtT is unknown although it is thought that it may be involved in changing the cellular response in relation to amino acid starvation.
Source: RNAcentral